GUGUGAAUGGCCAACGACCAUUGGAGACCGCUGUAACUGACAAACGGCUAACUUUAGGCUGAAGUUAUCCCUUCCAUGAUCCUCUUCUAUUUAAAUCCCCCUCCUCUUCUAUGAUCGAUCGACCAUCAUCGAGCUUUCCCCUCCCUUCUUCCUCCUCUCCAAUAGCUGACGAGCCACCAUAUCCAAGCACAACCCCCCCUCCUCUCUCUAAUUCCAUUGGUGCUCUGUUGUUGAAUCCAAUAGUGUGCCAUUAAAUCAUCAAAAUUUGUUGCUAUCGACCAAGAUUCAAUGUCUCCACUGCUCAUUGAUAUUGCUAAUAUCGAUGUAACAAAUCUCAAUUCUGAUCUAAUCCAGAUCAAUUCUCUCUCUAUCAAUUGAUUUACUCAGAUGAAAAUAUGAAUCUGGAUAGCAAGGAGGCAUGAUGGCAACCGAAUCCUCUAUAUAUAGGAACAGCCACUAUAUAGUGGCUAUGUUGGUAGUUGAGGAGGGUUCAGGGCAGAGAUGAUGAUGGGAAGAAGGCUAGUAGGUCCAUGGUUCCAUAGAUCCCAUAAGGUUGGAAGAGAUGAGAUGUAAAUUGAGAUUCGAGACUCGGCUUCAUGAGGAGCAAGCAAAGACAUACAUACAAACAUACACUCAUACAUCCAUAUAUGGGAUGAUUUGGUUUAAAUUGAUUUUUUAAAUUUUAACAAAAACUAAAUUCAUUUUUUGGUUUGAAAAAUUUACAAACCAAAAUCAGAUCAAAUAUGAAAGCUCGGCUUCAACCAAAUGGAAAUAACUGAUUUUGUGGUUUGAUCUUUUUUUUUUUGAAAUAUUCAGUGAGAAUCUAUUAUUCUCGUAAAUGCCAAGAGCUUUAAGUAUAAUUUAUUCUAAGGAUCCAUUUGAUUGGUGUAUAUCAAAUUAUAAGAUAAUUUGACGAUUCAUGGGAAUCAUUUAUGUAGAAAAAUGAUUAUAAAAAAAAUAAUUUUUACCAUAUUUGGUUGGUAGAAAAAUUAUUCGAAAAAAUAACACUGAAAAAAGAUUAC
This is a non-coding RNA of Elaeis guineensis (African oil palm), 1022 nucleotides long. Lineage: Eukaryota; Viridiplantae; Streptophyta; Magnoliopsida; Arecales; Arecaceae. The record is from RefSeq and is a predicted model, not a curated record.